UCCUACGGGGCGCAGCAGUGGGGGAUAUUGCACAAUGGGGGGAACCCUGAUGCAGCGACGCCGCGUGGGUGAAGAAGCGCCUCGGCGCGUAAAGCCCUGUCAGCAGGGAAGAAAAUGACGGUACCUGAAGAAGAAGCCCCGGCUAACUACGUGCCAGCAGCCGCGGUAAUACGUAGGGGGCAAGCGUUAUCCGGAUUUACUGGGUGUAAAGGGAGCGCAGGCGGCAGCGCAAGUCUGAUGUGAAAGCCCGGGGCCCAACCGCGGGACUGCAUUGGAAACUGCGCAGCUGGAGUGCCGGAGGGGUA
Molecule: ribosomal RNA, 305 nt
Filed under: uncultured bacterium
Lineage: Bacteria
Description: bacterial SSU rRNA
Rfam family: Bacterial small subunit ribosomal RNA
Source: RNAcentral